Molecule: transfer RNA, 83 nt
Filed under: Bacillota bacterium
Lineage: Bacteria; Bacillati; Bacillota
Description: Firmicutes bacterium (gut metagenome) tRNA-Leu
Rfam family: tRNA
About the family: Transfer RNA (tRNA) molecules are approximately 80 nucleotides in length. Their secondary structure includes four short double-helical elements and three loops (D, anti-codon, and T loops). Further hydrogen bonds mediate the characteristic L-shaped molecular structure. tRNAs have two regions of fundamental functional importance: the anti-codon, which is responsible for specific mRNA codon recognition, and the 3' end, to which the tRNAs corresponding amino acid is attached (by aminoacyl-tRNA synthetases). tRNAs cope with the degeneracy of the genetic code in two manners: having more than one tRNA (with a specific anti-codon) for a particular amino acid; and 'wobble' base-pairing, i.e. permitting non-standard base-pairing at the 3rd anti-codon position.
Source: RNAcentral
GCGGGCGUGGCGGAAUGGCAGACGCACCAGACUCAAAAUCUGGCGAGGGCGACCUCGUGUGGGUUCAAGUCCCACCGCCCGCA